This 461-nucleotide ribosomal RNA is filed under the name uncultured bacterium. Its description in RNAcentral is "partial 16S ribosomal RNA". It matches the Rfam family "Bacterial small subunit ribosomal RNA", at positions 338 to 795 of the family's 1533-position model. The record is from RNAcentral.
CCUACGUGAGGCAGCAGUGAGGAAUAUUGGUCAAUGGGCGAGAGCCUGAACCAGCCAAGUCGCGUGAAGGAUGACGGCCCUACGGGUUGUAAAUUUCUUCAGUCAGGGAGCAAUUGUGUCCACGUGUGGUCUUAGCGAGAGUACCUGAAGGAAAAGCAUCGACUAACUCAGUGCCAGCGGCCGCGGUAAUACGGAGGAUCCGAGCGUUAGCCGGAUGUAUUGGGUUGAAGGGGUACGUAGGCGGGCUUUUAAGUCAGCAGUGAAAGUCUGUGGCUCAACCAUGGAAUUGCCGUGGAAACUGGGAGGCUUGAGUAUGUUAGAGGCAGGCAGAAUGCGAGGUGUAGCGGUGAAAUGCUGAGAUAUCUCGCAGAACCCCGAUGGCGAAGGCAGCCUGCCAAGCCAUGACUGACGCUGAUGCGCGAAAGCGUGGGGAUCAAACAGGAUUAGAUACCCCAGUAGUC